This 446-nucleotide ribosomal RNA is filed under the name uncultured bacterium. Its description in RNAcentral is "partial 16S ribosomal RNA". It matches the Rfam family "Bacterial small subunit ribosomal RNA", at positions 330 to 792 of the family's 1533-position model. The record is from RNAcentral.
UCCAGACUCCUACGGGAGGCAGCAGUGGGGGAUAUUGCACAAUGGGGGGAACCCUGAUGCAGCGACGCCGCGUGGGUGAAGGAGCGUUUCGGCGCGUAAAGCCCUAUCGGCAGGGAAGAAGGAGGACGGUACCUGACUAAGAAGCCCCGGCUAACUACGUGCCAGCAGCCGCGGUAAUACGUAGGGGGCAAGCGUUAUCCGGAUUUACUGGGUGUAAAGGGGGCGCAGACGGCAGCGCAAGCCAGGAGUGAAAGCCCGGGGCCCAACCCCGGGACUGCUCUUGGAACUGCGCGGCUGGAGUGCAGGAGGGGCAGGCGGAAUUCCUGGUGUAGCGGUGAAAUGCGUAGAUAUCAGGAGGAGCACCGGUGGCGAAGGCGGCCUGCUGGACUGCGACUGACGUUGAGGCCCGAAAGCGUGGGGAGCAAACAGGAUUAGAUACCCCUGUA